This 292-nucleotide ribosomal RNA is filed under the name uncultured bacterium. Its description in RNAcentral is "partial 16S ribosomal RNA". It matches the Rfam family "Bacterial small subunit ribosomal RNA", at positions 505 to 796 of the family's 1533-position model. The record is from RNAcentral.
GUGUCAGCCGCCGCGGUAAAACGUAGGUACCGAGCGUUAUCCGGAUUUACUGGGCGUAAAGCGCGUUCAGGCGGUCUGGCAAGUCGGGCAUGAAAUCUCUCGGCUCAACCGGGAGGGGUUGUCCGAUACUGCUGGACUUGAGGGCAGGAGAGGGUGGUGGAAUUCCGGGUGUAGUGGUGAAAUGCGUAGAGAUCCGGAGGAACACCAGUGGCGAAGGCGGCCACCUGGCCUGCACCUGACGCUGAAACGCGAAAGCUAGGGGAGCGAACGGGAUUAGAAACCCGCGUAGUCC